UUGGUAGGAGAAAACUUGAGGGGAAGGGAGACCAGUCUUUGGCUAAUAGAAUAUCUAAUUGCUAAUAAGCUUCUUUCACCAAGUCAGUUUAAGAAUAAAAAGCAUCUUUUUAACAGUGUAGUGGUGUACUCUUACCAUGAUGCCAAUAGAUACUCGGAACAGGACUUUUUCAAGUGAGAUUUCUUGUUAGUGCUAUUACAGUAGAUAAAUAGUGUCUUUUAGAGUAUAUAAAUAAUUAAAUUGAUGCCUGAGUAGGAUCUUAAACCUUGUUCUCCUGUAUCCCUGGUGAGAGAUCUAGCCACUGGGCCAUCAUAUCUUUCCUAAUUGCCUCUGCUUGCUGUGGGCCUGUGAAUGUUUAAUUACUUCUAUAAACACAAAUAAAUUGGUAUUGAUGGGUCUGGAGGUGAUACUGGUUUGCUGAACUAAUAGUAUAUUGACAGUAUUAGAAUAUUCUUUCAGAAGUGUCCUUGAUCAUUUCUCCCAGAUAGUAAAAGCAGAUGCUUGAUGAUUAUAGAGCCUAUAGAAAUUGUUCUUGUUAAUAGUGUCUUUUUCUUUUAUGCAUGUAUUUAUAGUUUUUCACUUUUAAUUUUGUAUAGAUUGAGCGUUGUCUUGUGCCCUUCCUCCCCACCUCAAAAAGCUUGUGGCAGAAAGCUAAGAUAUAAGGCUUUGCUGAAGGAGAAAAGAAGAAAUGAGACCAAUUGCAAUGGCAAGCUUGCACUGGAUAAUUUAAUACACGCUCAGAGGAAUUCAUGCUUGCCUAGUACACUGCAUUGUUCAGCUGUACUACUCAGAUGGCCACAAGAAAAGACGCUGGUCUGAAAGGCUAAAAGCUUUUGCCUAGCCUUCUGCCAAUUUAUUUCUAUUAACUCACAAGGUCAAAAAUGAAGUAAAAAUGUCUGCAAGGCUCCUGAGUGGAACAGAAGAAUCAGAUAGGACAAAGUUGAUCAAACCCUGUUACAUUGUCUGUCCUAUGACAGCACUUCAGCUAGGGACACAGAUGAAUUCUAGAUGUUUUCUCAUAUUCAACUGAAUGGAAGGAAUUUGAAUGUUCGCCUUGAAAAUGACCGAGAGUUACAUAAGUGUAGCUAAAAGCUGGAGGAAAAACCGAUUUAUCACCAUCUUGAUUUGAAGGAGUUUUGGUGGUUUUUUUUCAGUGUUCGGAAACAGAUUCCAUUCCACUCCUAAUUGUUCAAGUAAUGCAGAAUGACGAAAUAGGCAAAUGGCAGGAGGCAAUACAAAUUUUGAAAUGCAUCAGAUGGAAUGUAAUGACUUACCUAUGCUAAUUUGGGGAUGAACAGACUGAAUCUGGCAUGAUACUAAGGCUUGCAUUCACUGUUUCACUCCAAGAUGAAACUCAUCCUUAUGGCUGAAUACUGGACAAUGAUGAAAAAAAAUCCUCAUUUUUUCUUCCUUUUCAGAGUGAAUUCUCCGAAAUGGAAAGGAGGAGAAAGCUUAUUUGAGUGACUGGAAAUUAGAAGCACUCAAUGAUCAGGAAAAUAUUUCUAAAAAUGUGGAUGUUAUUUUCAUGCAACAUGAGUUCUGAAUAUAUGGGCAGGCAAUUACCCAAUCUAUUAUAGGCCAUUGCAUAUUGGAUAGCAGCUACCGAACUCUUGGCUUCAACAUGUUUGGAUAGAACAGUACCUUAAUUCUUCUUCCCCUUUCUGUUAACGGGAAGAACAGCAGCUGGGAGGAACAUUUGCUGUGGGCAGAGUGUAGACUGUAUUAAGGAUCAAACAUUUAAGCAGAACAUUUCAACAGGGAUGCAGAACCCAUUUAGAUUUCAGCUGUGAACAUGUUUAAUCUUGUUUAAAACUGAGCCUCCUAGAAUGCCUUUGCAAAAGCUGAGAAAUACUAGAAAUUAAGCUUCCAGUUACCUCUGAAGCAAAAGAUCAAAAAAGAUUUGUGCUGACAAACACUUGUUGUAAUUUUAGUACAUGUAACUCUGGUACUGUUCACUCCAGAAUUUAAAUGUGAGUGUCACAUCUUCCUGUGGACAUGGAAUUCUGCCAGAUUGUCCAGAACUUUUACUAGAUCAGCCAUGAGCUCCUGCAGACUUAAAAAAAACCAAAACACAGUAAACUAACAUACAUGAGAUAUGACUAAGAAUCAAAAUUCUGGAAAAAAAGCAAAAGGAGAACCCCCCACCCCCAUAAUUUUGAAGGUAGGAAACCUUCAAAAGGUAGGAAAUCAAGUGGACCUGAACACCUGAACAUUCCAGCUGAAGCAGUAAUGAGCCUAACCCAAAAAUCCUCAACAAAUUUGGAAUCCAGAUCUGCAUUAUUUCAAUAACUUUUUUCCAGAUGCUCUUCUAGUUCUCUUAACAACAGCUGUCUUGAUAGAUUAUUAUUUUUGUUCUCAAAAAGCACAGGGAAACACAAUAUAAAAACAGAGCAGUAUAUGAUGGAAUCAGUGGUCAAUGCAUCUUAAUAGCUGCAACUAUGACUAGUAGAGUAUAAAUAUCUUGUACACUAACACUUGUCUGGACUGUACUCCACCUACCCCCAGUUUAAGAAUUUCACUGUCUGGCAGUUGUAGCAGCAUUUUUGUGCUCAAUACUCCCGGUGGAUUUGACUGCCAUGAAUUUGUCUAAUCCAUCACUGGUAUUCACUGUUCCCUGGGUCUCAGAAUUUCACAGUUCAGCUAUGUAUAAUUUGCAUUCACUUGUUUUAAAUCAACCACGUGUUAAGUUGGUUUGAUGUCCAUGGACCUUGCGUUUUGAGAAGCAAUAACAAAAUGUUCUGUUUGCCUUCUCUGUCCUUCAGAAACAGUUGUACUUCUGCCACGCUUCCCCAACAACCACUUUUCUAAACUAGAGCAUCCCAGACUAGUUUGUCUGCCUGCUCAGUGGAGCCGUUGCAGUCAGCCCAAGCCUUCAGCCACCUUUGCCAUCUUGUUUCCUUUACUAGUUUUAUUAUCUGCUUUUCUAGGUGAGUGGAAACCACAACCAAACAUAGCCUCAGAUUUCCACUGCCUUUGAAACAGCUGUUACUUACCAAUUUCUGAACUGAUUUUCUUUGGGUUGCAUACUAUAUAAGGGCUUUCUCACAGAUUAUUGUGUGAUAAAGAAACAGACUGAGCUGUGAAUUUCCACGGCCAGCAUGGGAAAAAUAGGUAGGUGCAGGACUUCUGUCAGUGAGCUUAAGGUGUAGGCUGGUGCUGUGUCAGUGACAAUAACUUAAUGGCUUGUCCUUUAUGACUGUCUACAAUAAUAAUGUUAACAAUUAUAUUAUAUUGUAUUAUAUUAAAAUAAUUAUAAUAUUUAUAAUAUUAAUAAUAUUGUUGUUAUUAAUAAUAAUGUCUCUAUAUGCUGCACUUUCACAAGAGGAAAUGUACACCUCCCUUUGUCCUUACCACUAACAAAGAAGCUGCCUCCUCCUCCCCAGCUUCCAGCUGUCUCUGCAGCAAAACAGAGGUGAAAAGAGAGAAACCUUCCUGAUGCAGGUAGCCAUCACAAGAGUAUCUUUUCACCAGACCCCGUGAAUCUGCCCUCCUAUCAACUAUUUGUCUCACCCUGAAAGUGAGUGCUGACAACAAGGUAAGCCAAGCAGCUGAUCAGACUGACGGUUUGCACCAGGCCUCCCUCCCCUAGAGAAUAUUUAGGCAGGGAGGUGAACGUGCAGAAGAAUGUUUAAAUAAGAACAAUUUUUAAAAUGUCCUUAAACCCAAAAGCUGAGGACAUUGUGAUGGGAACUAUAUUCAAAGUUUAUAGCUCAGAUUCAAUGUGCAAAGAGAUCCAAAAACUCAGGCAUCUGUAAGAAUUGUCAAGUCCUCUAACCGGCAGAGGCAAGUUCUAUUUUUCACUGCAACAGACAUACUGGGUACACAAGGGGAACAGGUUUCCAUGACACCGAUACAAAGGAUCUCCAUGGAAGCUCGUGGCAGCAAAAUUAAAUGAAGCUGGAGCAGAAGAUACCACAGAUGGUACUGGAAAGAUAUGAACUGAACCUCCUAUCAGCAGGGAAGAGACUGUGUUCAUCUCAGUUCAGCUGCCUUCAAAUUGCACAUCUCCCAACAACCAUUUCCUGGGCUCCCCCUCCAGUCAAUGGAGUGACUCCAGAGCAUGAUUCACCACAUCCUAAGAAUAGAGCCUGAGAUCAGUAAAGCAACAGGACCAAAGCCAGCAACAGUGUGAAGCGCUGCUAUGGGUGCUGGACAGGCUGGUGUGGUGUACCAUUGUGCCAUAAAAACCAGACAUACAUUUCCCUUCAGAAUGGGUCACAUAACAUUGACUUUUAGUGUAGUUCUUCCAUGCAAUGCCCUGUGGAAGAAUCUGCUGAAGUACAUAGGUUUCUUGACAGGUGAGGAAGGAUUAAUCCAGUAACCUUCACAAAACAUUUGUUUUACACCAAGCACAAGAUUUGUGGGAAAACAAGGUAAACUGUGUAAGGAAAUAAACAUUCACAGAGGAAGAAGUCUUCUCUGGUGUGAAUUCAUUGUUUUUUUCUGAACCUACAGAAAAAACCUUCUAAGGAUUUCGGAAAACCAGACAAAUGAAAGUGAAAUCAUUAUCUGACUUAACUAUACUCAUGUCUGGUGUUGUCAAUAUUGUUUGCUUAAGGACCUGAGAACAGCAGGUUUGAGAUCCUUUUGUGUGCUACCUGCUAAAUUUUUCUUCCGUCAAUAUUUGCACGUAUCUAAAUUGAUGGCCUGAACUCCUUUCUUAGUAUGCAAGAAAAGAGUGGAGUGAUGAGGUAUGUUUGUGCAAUAGUUCUGGCAAGGAAUACGGACUGGCAUAGCCAUGGACAAAACCCUGUUUUUCAAAGAAUUAUCAGGAUGUUUCUGGUCAUCUAAUUGCUGUUCAGAGGUUUAAGUUCUG
Long non-coding RNA from Numida meleagris (helmeted guineafowl), 4816 nucleotides. RefSeq lists it as uncharacterized. The record is from RefSeq and is a predicted model, not a curated record. NCBI's taxonomy places the organism in Eukaryota, Metazoa, Chordata, Aves, Galliformes, Numididae. The transcript has 3 exons.